Molecule: ribosomal RNA, 520 nt
Filed under: uncultured bacterium
Lineage: Bacteria
Description: bacterial SSU rRNA
Rfam family: Bacterial small subunit ribosomal RNA
Source: RNAcentral
AGGACGAACGCUGGCGGCGUGCCUAAUACGUGCAAGUCGAACGGUCUUUCUAUGGAAGCUUGCUUCCACUGAGAAGAUAGUGGCGAACGGGUGAGUAACACGUGGGGUAACCUGCCCAUAAGAGGGGGAUAACAUCCGGAAACGGGUGCUAAUACCGCAUAGUUUUCUUGAUCGCAUGAUCGGGAAAGGAAAGACGGCCUUUGUGCUGUCGCUUAUGGAUGGACCCGCGGCGUAUUAGUUAGUUGGUGAGGUAACGGCUCACCAAGACGAUGAUACGUAGCCGACCUGAGAGGGUGAUCGGCCACAUUGGGACUGAGACACGGCCCAAACUCCUACGGGAGGCAGCAGUAGGGAAUCUUCCGCAACGGACGAAAGUCUGACGGAGCAACGCCGCGUGAGUGAAGAAAGGUUUUCGGAUCGUAAAACUCUGUUGUCAGAGAAGAACAAGUUGGAGAGUAACUGCUCCAGCCUUGACGGUAUCUGACCAGAAAGCCACGGCUAACUACGUGCCAGCCGCGGC